Molecule: transfer RNA, 72 nt
Filed under: Ovis aries (sheep)
Lineage: Eukaryota; Metazoa; Chordata; Mammalia; Artiodactyla; Bovidae
Rfam family: tRNA
About the family: Transfer RNA (tRNA) molecules are approximately 80 nucleotides in length. Their secondary structure includes four short double-helical elements and three loops (D, anti-codon, and T loops). Further hydrogen bonds mediate the characteristic L-shaped molecular structure. tRNAs have two regions of fundamental functional importance: the anti-codon, which is responsible for specific mRNA codon recognition, and the 3' end, to which the tRNAs corresponding amino acid is attached (by aminoacyl-tRNA synthetases). tRNAs cope with the degeneracy of the genetic code in two manners: having more than one tRNA (with a specific anti-codon) for a particular amino acid; and 'wobble' base-pairing, i.e. permitting non-standard base-pairing at the 3rd anti-codon position.
Source: Rfam by way of RNAcentral
UCCCUGUUAGCUCAGUUGAUAAAGAACCUGCCUGCAAUGCAGAAGACCCUGGUUCAAUUCCUGGGUCAGGAA